Molecule: ribosomal RNA, 650 nt
Filed under: uncultured Cortinarius
Lineage: Eukaryota; Fungi; Basidiomycota; Agaricomycetes; Agaricales; Cortinariaceae
Description: eukaryotic LSU rRNA
Rfam family: 5.8S ribosomal RNA (bases 175-328)
Source: RNAcentral
AGGAUCAUUAUUGAAAUAAACCUGAUGGGUUGUUGCUGGUUCUCUAGGGAGCAAUGUGCACACCUUGUCAUCUUUAUANNNNNNCUGUGCACCUUUUGUAGACCUUUCAGGUCUAUGUUGCUUCAUUUACCCCAAUGUAUGUUAAUAGAAUGUUGUGCCUAAUAUAAUAUAUACAACUUUCAGCAACGGAUCUCUUGGCUCUCGCAUCGAUGAAGAACGCAGCGAAAUGCGAUAAGUAAUGUGAAUUGCAGAAUUCAGUGAAUCAUCGAAUCUUUGAACGCACCUUGCGCUCCUUGGUAUUCCGAGGAGCAUGCCUGUUUGAGUGUCAUUAAUAUAUCAACCUUCUCUUGUUGAGUGGUUUGGAUGUGGGGGUUUGCUGGCCUUCUUUAAAGGUUUUUAGCUCUCCUGAAAUACAUUAGCAGAACAACCCUGUUCAUUGGUGUGAUAAACUAUCUACGCUAUUGAAUGUGAAAGGGGCAGUUCGGCUUUCUAACAGUCCUUGGACAGCUCAUCAUUAAUGUGACCUCAAAUCAGGUAGGACUACCCGCUGAACUUAAGCAUAUCAAUAAGCGGAGGAAAAGAAACUAACAAGGAUUCCCCUAGUAACUGCGAGUGAAGCGGGAAAAGCUCAAAUUUAAAAUCUGGCGGUC